This 445-nucleotide ribosomal RNA is filed under the name uncultured bacterium. RNAcentral describes it as "bacterial SSU rRNA". It matches the Rfam family "Bacterial small subunit ribosomal RNA", at positions 354 to 796 of the family's 1533-position model. The record is from RNAcentral.
GUGAGGAAUAUUGGACAAUGGGCGAGAGCCUGAUCCAGCCAUGCCGCGUGCAGGAAGACUGCCCUAUGGGUUGUAAACUGCUUUUAUACAGGAAGAAUAAGCCUUACGUGUAAGGUGAUGACGGUACUGUAAGAAUAAGGACCGGCUAACUCCGUGCCAGCAGCCGCGGUAAUACGGAGGGUCCGAGCGUUAUCCGGAAUUAUUGGGUUUAAAGGGUCCGUAGGCGGAUGAUUAAGUCAGGGGUGAAAGUUUGCAGCUCAACUGUAAAAUUGCCUUUGAUACUGGUCAUCUUGAGUUGUAUUGAAGUAGGCGGAAUAUGUAGUGUAGCGGUGAAAUGCAUAGAUAUUACAUAGAACACCAAUUGCGAAGGCAGCUUACUAAGUACUAACUGACGCUGAUGGACGAAAGCGUGGGUAGCGAACAGGAUUAGAAACCCUAGUAGUCC